This 321-nucleotide long non-coding RNA is filed under the name Amborella trichopoda. Its description in RNAcentral is "long non-coding RNA (ATRI_LNC002255)". The record is from RNAcentral. Lineage: Eukaryota; Viridiplantae; Streptophyta; Magnoliopsida; Amborellales; Amborellaceae.
UGCACCCAUGGUGUAUAAUAUGACACUAGUCAUGAGAGAGAGAACGUGGUGAAAGAGGGAGUAUAGAGGCGCAGCCUUACAUGAUAAAUGGCCGUUUUAACAAUUAUACUCGAACUGGAAGAGACACUACAUUAAUUUCCAUUGAAUUUCAAAACGUUUUGUUAUUAAAACUAAUUGAACAACAAAACAAUAAAAAUCUACCAUCAUAAGGCGUUAGAGACAUGCCAUUUAUGAUCGAAACUUAUUAAGGCUUUUGAUAUUCAAACUUCCCAAAACGACUUUUUGUAAUUAAAACCGAUUUAACUGAAUGGUGAUUUAGAA